GACGAACGCUGGCGGCGUGCUUAACACAUGCAAGUCGAACGAAAAGGCCCUGCGUUUGUGGGGUGCUCGAGUGGCGAAGGGGGGAGUGACACGUGAGGAACCUGUCCUUGUCUUUGGGAGAACAUCAGGAAACUGGGGCUCAUAUCGCGUAGAAGCUCCUGCAGCGUGUGGGUGGUUGGAAAGUGUCGGCUGUUGGGGCUGGACUCGCGGCUUAUGAGCUUGUUGGUGGGGUUGGGGCUUACCAGGGCUAUGAAGGGUAGCCGGCCUGGGAGGGUUAACGGCCACAUGGGGCCUGAGAGACGCACCAGAAUCCAACGGGAGGCAGUAGUCGGAAACAUUGCAGAACGGGCGGAAGCCUGAGGCAGCAACCCCGCGUGCGUGAUGACGUCCUUCGAGUUGUAAACCGCUUUCGCCUGUGACGAAGAGUGAGUGACGGUAACGGGUAAAGAAGCCCCGGCUAACUACGUG
Molecule: ribosomal RNA, 468 nt
Filed under: uncultured bacterium
Lineage: Bacteria
Description: partial 16S ribosomal RNA
Rfam family: Bacterial small subunit ribosomal RNA
Source: RNAcentral